Molecule: ribosomal RNA, 467 nt
Filed under: uncultured bacterium
Lineage: Bacteria
Description: partial 16S ribosomal RNA
Rfam family: Bacterial small subunit ribosomal RNA
Source: RNAcentral
GACGAACGCUGGCGGCGUGCUUAACACAUGCAAGUCGAACGGAAAGGCCCUGCUUUUGUGGGGUGCUCGAGUGGCGAACGGGUGAGUAACACGUGAGUAACCUGCCCUUGACUUUGGGAUAACUUCAGGAAACUGGGGCUAAUACCGGAUAGGAGCUCCUGCUGCAUGGUGGGGGUUGGAAAGUUUCGGCGGUUGGGGAUGGACUCGCGGCUUAUCAGCUUGUUGGUGGGGUAGUGGCUUACCAAGGCUUUGACGGGUAGCCGGCCUGAGAGGGUGACCGGCAACAUGGGAACGAGGAUACGGCCCGGACUCCUACGGGAGGAAGCAGGGGGGAAUAUUGCACAAUGGGCGGAGGCCGAAUGCAGAAACGCCGCGUGGGGGAUGACGGCGUUCGGGUGGUAAACCGCUUUCGCCUGUGGCGAAGCGUGGGUGACGGUAAUGGGAAAAGAAGCACCGGCUACCUACGG